This 32-nucleotide non-coding RNA is filed under the name Macaca fascicularis (crab-eating macaque). RNAcentral also lists the same sequence under 1 other name. Lineage: Eukaryota; Metazoa; Chordata; Mammalia; Primates; Cercopithecidae. The record is from RNAcentral.
CCUCAUUUUCUCAAGGUGCCGUGUUUGCCUGU